GAGCAAGACAGAGGGAGACUCCAUCUUAAAAAAAAAAAUAAAAAAAGUGGAGAAGGAGAGAAGGGGUCAGGGAGGCAGCCAGGAGGGAAGAGUGAAGUAAGAAGCAGAUGAAGAGAAGCAGGGUGGGCACACACCCAGAGCCCCCCUGUGUCACCCGCCUGCUACCAGACCCAGGAGGGUCCCGUCGGGGUGGGGGUCCUGGGACUUAACUCCUCCUCCAGCCUCAGCCCUCCCGGUGCCAAGAUUCUUCAACGUCCUCGGGAUGCACCUCCGCACUGUGGGGCCAUCUGGGUCAGCCCGGACGCACCGGCCUCUGUCUGGGUCCCAGUCUUCUCACCGCCAGGCGGGCAGGUGAGGCCUCGGUCAUUCCAGGUGCAGCCUCGGAUCAGGGAUGACGGCCCAGGCUGAAGUAUCAUGAUGAAGAGCUUGGACCGAGGGCAGUUAAGGUGUGUGAGUAUUCAGAUCCCCCACGUGCCCUUCUCUGGAAGGUGCCAGCGACCUGUCCUCUCUGGGCCUCUGUCUUCUCCUCUGUGGAAUGGGAAUGAUGGCGUCCGCACCUCAUAGGGCUGCUGGAAAAUGGGUCUGGGUCUCGGCUGGAAUUUCAGCCAGCGCCGAGGACCAGAGGCCCUGGUUCCUGUCCACGUGGCCUGGGACCCCCGCGGCCCCGCACCUGGGCUCCGGGGGCAAGUGUGUUCGCUUUGAGGACCCAGCCUUGGAGGUCAGAUGGCAUCCGUUAUGGGUUAAAUUUUGUCCCCCUAAAUUCAUAUGUUGAAGU
Molecule: long non-coding RNA, 775 nt
Filed under: Homo sapiens (human)
Lineage: Eukaryota; Metazoa; Chordata; Mammalia; Primates; Hominidae
Description: HSALNT0117853
Source: RNAcentral